RNAcentral lists this ribosomal RNA (388 nucleotides) under uncultured bacterium. Its description in RNAcentral is "bacterial SSU rRNA". It matches the Rfam family "Bacterial small subunit ribosomal RNA", at positions 30 to 420 of the family's 1533-position model. The record is from RNAcentral.
AUUGAACGCUGGCGGCAUGCCUUACACAUGCAAGUCGAACGGCAGCACGGGAGCAAUCCUGGUGGCGAGUGGCGAACGGGUGAGUAAUAUAUCGGAACGUGCCCAGUCUGGGGGAUAACGUAGCGAAAGCUACGCUAAUACCGCAUACGAUCUAUGGAUGAAAGCGGGGGAUCGCAAGACCUCGCGCGAUUGGAGCGGCCGAUAUCAGAUUAGGUAGUUGGUGAGGUAAAGGCUCGCCAAGCCGACGAUCUGUAGCUGGUCUGAGAGGACGACCAGCCACACUGGGACUGAGACACGGCCCAGACUCCUACGGGAGGCAGCAGUGGGGAAUUUUGGACAAUGGCGCAAGCCUGAUCCAGCAAUGCCGCGUGCAGGAUGAAGGCCUUAC